Molecule: ribosomal RNA, 534 nt
Filed under: Halicarcinus planatus
Lineage: Eukaryota; Metazoa; Arthropoda; Malacostraca; Decapoda; Hymenosomatidae
Description: partial 16S ribosomal RNA
Source: RNAcentral
AUCAAAAACAUUUCUAUUUGUAAGGUAUAAAAAGUAAAUCCUGCCCACUGAUAUAGUAUUUAAAGGCUGCGGUAUUUUGACUGUACAAAGGUAGCAUAAUAAUUAGGUUUUUAAUUAAAAUCUUGAAUGAAUGGAAUAACAAAAUAAAAACUGUCUCUUUUUCUUUUUGAACUUAACUUUUAAGUUAAAAGGCUUAAAUAAAAUAAAAAGACGAUAAGACCCUAUAAAACUUUAUUUUUGAAUUAAUUAUAUACAUUUAUUUAGAUUAAAGAUAUAAUUAUAUUUUAAAUAUUGAAUUGGGGAGUAUAAAAUUUAAUUUAUAGUAAUUUUAAAAUAAUAAUUUCAUAAAUAAAUGAUUAGUUAAAGAUCCUUUAUUAUAGAUUUAAAACUAAGUUACUUUAGGGAUAACAGCGUUAUUUUUUUUAAGAGUUCUUAUCGAAGAAAUUAGUUGCGACCUCGAUGUUGAAUUAAAUGGUUAUAUAAAGUAUAAAUUAUAUGAAAUAGGUCUGUUCGACCUUUAAAUGUUUACGUGAU